AAUUUAGAGGAAGGAGAAGUCG
RNAcentral lists this ribosomal RNA (22 nucleotides) under Terminalia tomentosa. RNAcentral's name for it is "partial 18S ribosomal RNA". The record is from RNAcentral. Lineage: Eukaryota; Viridiplantae; Streptophyta; Magnoliopsida; Myrtales; Combretaceae.